Molecule: ribosomal RNA, 742 nt
Filed under: uncultured fungus
Lineage: Eukaryota; Fungi
Description: SSU rRNA
Rfam family: Eukaryotic small subunit ribosomal RNA
Source: RNAcentral
UUUGUUGGUUCUAGGACCGUCGUAAUGAUUAAUAGGGAUGGUCGGGGGCAUCAGUAUUCAGUAGUAAGAGGUGAAAUUCUUGGAUUUACUGAAGACUAACUGCUGCGAAAGCGUUUGCCAAGGACAUCUUCAUUAAUCAAGAACGAAAGUUAGGGGAUCGAAGACGCUUAGAUACCGUCGUAGUCUUAACCGUAAACUAUGCCGACUCUGAAUCGGCCCCUUGAAUUUGAUGGGGGGUCGGCGCAGUGUGAGAAAUCAAAGUUUUUAGGUUCUGGGGGGAGUAUGGUCGCAAGGCUGAAACUUAAAGGAAUUGACGGAAGGGCACCACCAGGAGUGGAGCCUGCGGCUUAAUUUGACUCAACACGGGGAAACUCACCAGGUCCAGACUUCUGUAGGAUUGACGCAUUGGCGAUGCUUCAUGAUUAGAAGGGUGGUGGUGCAUGGCCGUUCUUAGUUCGUGACGUAAGUUGUCUGCCUUAUCGCGAUAACGAGCGAGACCUCGGCCGCUAGUUGCUGAAACCCACAUUUUGUGAGUCUUCGGCUCUUAGCGGGACUACCGGAGACAAUUCGGGGGAGGUUCGAGGCAAUAACAGGUCUGUGAUGCCCUUAGACGUUCUGGGCCGCACGCGCGCUACACUGACGCAGCCAGCGAGUUUUGGCCUUUUCCGAAAGGAAUGGGUAAUCUUGUUAAACUGCGUCGUGCUGGGGAUAGAGCUUUGCAAUUUUUGCUCUUGAACGAGGA